AGUAUAUGAACCGGGCUAAAGAUUUAAAAUAAAAGCAAAACAAACAUUCUUAUGGUUUUUGUAUUAUCUCUGUAAAAAAACAAAUUAAGUUAAAUAAAUAAAAAAAAGAAAUUAAUAAAAAAAGAAAACAGAAAAAGAAAUGGGAACGGGGAAAAGAACACAGAGGAGUUCGUCUUCCUCCCUCUCUCUCGCAUCUUACGAGCUCAAAACUUCCCCAACAAUGGCAACCUCACGCACCCCAGACUUCACAUUUCACUCAAUCUCACUCUUGCUCUCAACGAAACCC
Molecule: long non-coding RNA, 286 nt
Filed under: Lathyrus oleraceus (garden pea)
Lineage: Eukaryota; Viridiplantae; Streptophyta; Magnoliopsida; Fabales; Fabaceae
Description: Pisum sativum (pea) long non-coding RNA (PSAT_LNC017144)
Source: RNAcentral